GCGCAACCCUUGUCCUUAGUUACCAGCACGUUAUGGUGGGCACUCUAAGGAGAACUGCCGGUGGACAAACCGGAGGAAGGUGGGGAUGACGUCAAGUCAUCAUGGCCCUUACGGCCUGGGCUACACACGUGCUACAAUGGUCGGUACAAAGGGUUGCCAAGCCGCGAGGUGGAGCUAAUCCCAUAAAACCGAUCGUAGUCCGGAUCGCAGUCUGCAACUCGACUGCGUGAAGUCGGAAUCGCUAGUAAUCGUGAAUCAGAAUGUCACGGUGAAUACGUUCCCGGGCCUU
Molecule: ribosomal RNA, 289 nt
Filed under: uncultured Pseudomonas sp.
Lineage: Bacteria; Pseudomonadati; Pseudomonadota; Gammaproteobacteria; Pseudomonadales; Pseudomonadaceae
Description: partial 16S ribosomal RNA
Rfam family: Bacterial small subunit ribosomal RNA
Source: RNAcentral